GGUGUUGACAGCGGCCGGCGGAGCAGGAAGUGAGUGCGGAUAAACCGGGACAAACCGGGAUAAACCGGCACAAAACGGGUUAAACCGGGAUAAACGGCAGCACCGGCAUCGGGGGCUCGGCCCGGCGGGACGCGGAGCCAUGAGCCGAGCGCGGAGGGCCCCGGGCCGGGGGGCGGCCAUGGCCAGGCAGGCGGGGCUGCUGGCGGCUCCCGGUGCCGGGGGCGGCCCGGGCGGUGCCGGGGACGCGGCGCUGGAGGCGGAGCUGCUGCUGCUGCUGGGGGGCAGGGAGGCUCCGGAGCGGGGGGAGCCGCCCCCGCCCCCCCAGCGAGGUAAAUCCCCCGACCCCG
Molecule: long non-coding RNA, 347 nt
Organism: Onychostruthus taczanowskii (white-rumped snowfinch)
Lineage: Eukaryota; Metazoa; Chordata; Aves; Passeriformes; Passeridae
Exons: 3
Source: RefSeq, a predicted model, not a curated record